GACGAACGCUGGCGGCGUGCUUAACACAUGCAAGUCGAACGGUGAAGCGCCUUCCUUUUUGGUGGGUGUGGAUGAGUGGCGAACGGGUGAGUAACACGUGAGUAACCUGCCCCCUUCUUCUGGAUAACCGCAUGAAAGUGUGGCUAAUACGGGAUAUUCUGGGUCUGUCGCAUGAUGGGUCUGGGAAAGAUAUUGUUUCGGUGGGGGAUGGGCUCGCGGCCUAUCAGCUUGUUGGUGGGGUGAUGGCCUACCAAGGCGGUGACGGGUAGCCGGCCUGAGAGGGUGGACGGUCACACUGGGACUGAGACACGGCCCAGACUCCUACGGGAGGCAGCAGUGGGGAAUAUUGCACAAUGGGCGAAAGCCUGAUGCAGCGACGCCGCGUGAGGGAUGGAGGCCUUCGGGUUGUGAACCUCUUUCGCCAGUGAAGCAGGCCUGCCUCGUUUGUGGGUGGGUUGACGGUAGCUGGAAAAGAAGCGCCGGCUAACUACGUG
RNAcentral lists this ribosomal RNA (494 nucleotides) under uncultured bacterium. Its description in RNAcentral is "partial 16S ribosomal RNA". It matches the Rfam family "Bacterial small subunit ribosomal RNA", at positions 28 to 507 of the family's 1533-position model. The record is from RNAcentral.